UUAAUACUUCCUCCGUUUCAAAAUUCUUGUCUUAAAUUUGUCUAGAUAUGAAUGUAUCUAGUCACGUUUUAGUAUUUCGAUACAUCCAUUUCUAGACAAACCUNNNNNAAGAAUUUUGAGACGGAGGGAGUAGAAU
Non-coding RNA from Hordeum vulgare subsp. vulgare (domesticated barley), 136 nucleotides. The record is from Rfam. Lineage: Eukaryota; Viridiplantae; Streptophyta; Magnoliopsida; Poales; Poaceae.